AAUUCUAGCCCUAAAAACAUAUAAUCACAACUACACUGUAAAAGUAAAACAAAACAUUUAUAUUUAAAAGUAUAGGAGAUAGAACUUUCUUUUGGCGCUAUAGAGGUAGUACCGCAAGGGAAAGAUGAAAGAUAAAAUUAACAGUAAAAAAAAGCAUAGAUCACCCCUAUUACCUUUUGUAUAAUGAGUUAACUAGAAUAAAUUUGGCAAAGAGGACUGAAGCCAACCACCCCGAAACCAAACGAGCUACUUUUAAACAGCUAACAGAGCAAACUCGUCUAUGUAGCAAAAUAGUGAGAAGAUUUAGAAGUAGAGGUGAAAAGCCAAUCGAGCUUGGUGAUAGCUGGUUAUCCAAAUAAGAAUAUCAGUUCAGCUUUAAGUUUUCCAAAAAUAUAACCAAAUCAAAUGAAAACUUAAAACUUAAUCUAAAGAGGGACAGCUCUUUAAAAUAAGGAAACAACCUCUAACAGUGGGUAAAAAAUAAAAGCUCCAUAGUUGGCCUAAGAGCAGCCAUCAAUUAAGAAAGCGUUCAAGCUCGACAACCCAUAAAAUUUAUAAUACCAAUAAAACUUAAUGAACCCCUGAUGAACAAUUGGAUUAAUCUAUAUGUAUAUAGAAGAAAUAAUGUUAACAUUAGUAACAAGAAAUAAUUCUCCUCGCACAAGCUUAAAUCAUUCACACAUGAUUGUUAACAACUCAAUAAGACAAGACACCUCAUUAAUACUCUUAUUAGACUAAUUGUUAACCCGACACAGGAGUGCUACUCAGGAAAGACAAAACAAAGCAAAAGGAACUCGGCAAA
This 802-nucleotide ribosomal RNA is filed under the name Cavia tschudii (Montane guinea pig). RNAcentral's name for it is "partial 16S ribosomal RNA". The stretch from base 231 to 347 matches the Rfam family "Bacterial large subunit ribosomal RNA", at positions 714 to 852 of the family's 2925-position model. The record is from RNAcentral. Lineage: Eukaryota; Metazoa; Chordata; Mammalia; Rodentia; Caviidae.